Molecule: small nucleolar RNA, 107 nt
Organism: Amaranthus tricolor (Joseph's coat)
Lineage: Eukaryota; Viridiplantae; Streptophyta; Magnoliopsida; Caryophyllales; Amaranthaceae
Source: RefSeq, a predicted model, not a curated record
AAUCCAUGGUAUGGACAGUUCCUUUGUAACCCCUUAUAUUGAACCCAGGCAUCAUAAAAGGUUUCUCUCUCUUCUUGAUGAAAUUGAAGGAUGGCAUUUUGGAGUUU